This 166-nucleotide unclassified non-coding RNA is filed under the name uncultured Rhytismataceae. RNAcentral's name for it is "sequence contains ITS1". The record is from RNAcentral. Lineage: Eukaryota; Fungi; Ascomycota; Leotiomycetes; Rhytismatales; Rhytismataceae.
CAGAGUUCAUGCCCUAUGGGGUAGAUCUCCCACCCUUGUGUAUUUAUACCAUGUUGCUUUGGCGGGCCGUUGGGCUUCGGCCUGCUCACGGCUCAGGCUGUGGAGUGCCCGCCAGAGGACCCAAAACUCUUGUCAUCAGUGUCGUCUGAGUACUAUAUAAUAGUUA